GGAGACUUCUGUGUUCCUGAGGUCUUUUGAAGUCUGGGAUCUUGCUGCACUGCUGUGUUUUCCAUUAUGUUGUGCUACUAGUUGGUUGAGGAAAUGAAGGUGAAGAUGCUUGCAGGAAGGUAGAGAGGGCCUGCUCAGUGGAUGUGCUCAGGGGUUAUGAAGAGUUUCUGCAGAGUUCAAAGCCUAGACUGAUAAACUGCUAGAGAAGUGAAGAAGAGUAAUUUGGGAACAGUUGAUCUGUAAGCUUUGGGAUGAGAGGAAGGGGUUGAAACAGAAGAAAAGAGCUGGAGAAAAAAAAGUCUCAUGGUAUUUCUCUUGAAAUCAUCCAUGAAAGUUCAGUUCUGAAAGAGAUACGUAAACAAGUGGAGAGAAGAGCAUGACCAGAAGGUAGGCUAGCUUCUAGGAGAAGUAAGUAUAAUUUGAACGCUACUCUGAUUCAGUAGGAGACUUGAAGUAGAGGGUAACAUUUCUGGUAGAGAGUGAUGUCUGUAAAGAACGAAGUGGGUGGCAUUUCUGAUGAGAGCGAACACAGCCUGCAGGCUGGCUUUAAAACAUGACCAUCAGGAGGGAUGGAAGCCUAGCUGAUAUUGGUUGAAGGGAGGGAAGGAGAGUGUCUUGUUGGAGACUGGCUCCACUCAUCUGUGAAGACCUGUCACCACCCCUUGCCACUGCUGGGUCCUUAAAGCUCAGGAAACUUUCUCAAGUUACUAUUAACUCCUCCCAAGCUUUUCCUUUUCUUUCUUACUGUACCUUCACAUUUACUCAGAUUCUCCAGUAGUCUUCUACUCAGUCCUAAGUUUCUUCUGUGCUGACAAUAAUAUACAUUGUGUGUGGUAUGAAACGCUUGACAAGCCUACUGUUUACAGAGCACAGAGUCCAUCACCCUCCCUUCCCAGCUCGUUAAACCUAAACCUAAGGACAGUCUUUAACCAAAGCCUUUGGUCUGUGCCAGAGCCUCAGAGAAGUUCAGAUCCAGCUUCACACUUCACAGCUCUGGCACCAGAGCCAGGCCAACACCCCUCUUCCCCUGAACCUCUGCGGUAAAACCCCGAUCCAACAUUUCCAGAUGGUGCCACUCUGCCUAAGGGCUCUGGCUGGACAUAGGUUCUAAGAGCAGAGUUAAAGUGCAAGCUUUUGAUUAAAGCAGUUACCCUGAUUCCCCUUCUGUAUGACUCUUUGCGAGCCAUUGGGAGGGGUCUGAUGAGAACAUGUGUGUCUGAAGCACUUGCUGUAGGAAGACGAUUGUCAAGAUGAGACUUGGAAGCAAUUUCUGGAAGCUGAGGGAAUAAAUUUCAUGGAGAUUUGCCUUCCUCAACUAGCAACUGUAGCACUAUGCCAUUGAAAAACCAUUGAGGGAGGGAAGCUGGCAAAGAAGAGAUUUAAAACAGGUCUUUAAGAGCAGCGUGAAACUGAAGAGUUGCACAUCAUACGCUGGUUAAAAGCAGAAGGUCUGGGUCUGCUGUGCAGGUGUCACGAGUAAUUAUUUCCAGUAACUUAUUGAGAAACACUUUAGAUGUUUUGACUACAAAGUGUAAAGAGCUCUGCCAGAAAACUCCGACACUGAAGAGGUGGAGGGAGAGGCAGGAAAAAAGAGAGACAGUAGAAAUAGGAGAAAACACACAGUACAUUUACAUUCUAGUGAAGCGUUGCCUUUAACUAGUCUGGAGUCUGCCAGGACUGAUGACCUUUAUGGGCUGCCCUGAAUUCACUGGAGCCAAAGAGUACCAUGCCUUCAACAAGCAGUAAGCUGAGUUAUAAAAAACAUGGUUUAAAUUUGAUAGUUAUCGUCACGUUUGCUGCUGGAUUUGGAAGUGGAUGAUGCUCAGUGUUCUGAGUGGCUUGUAUCUGGAGUCUUUGCUCCGAAGUUGCUGAGUCUCCUGGUUUAUGUUUGUCGUUGGUAAAGCUGACCAUUCCUAGCAUCCUGGUGGAUGGGUCUGGAUGGUCUGAAAGAAUCCACCCUACCCCAUUGUAGGACCAGCCUUUCCUAAACCAAACAGGACUGACGUGACUCUUGCUGCCUCUCCAGAGCCUGCAUCUCUCCCCACCAUCUCUCCUACAGUGUUUCACAGACUACCUGGACAGAACUGUUCAGUGCUAAAAUGCCAACCCAUGCUGAAGAAUGGCUAACCUGGAGGAACAACCCCAAAUCUUCCUUAAGCAUCCCAUAAGUGAAGGCAAAAGGCUUUGUCUCAAAAUACCAGUUUGAUUCUUCUCCCAGCUCUAGUGCAUCUUUUCAACCAUCCAACUGAGAGAGAAAGAAGUGGAAAAACCCUGAGACCUCAUUAGUCAGGCAGUUUGCUUACCCAGGUGACUAAGGGCCUCUUUAUCCCAUGGCCAAGUGGCAGCACCAGCCAGCUCUUCCCUCACCGAGCUGGCAAAGUAAAUGUUGAGGAAGUGGGUGCUGUUCAGCUGCAGUGCCUCCUUCAGCUCCUUCACGCUCAUGUAUGCCCUGUAAGGACAAGGGAGAGCAGACAGUCAGCAAACAUAUCAAUGUGGCAAAGAGGACAAGCAAGAGCAGCCCAUAGUUGAGCUGGAAAAGGUUAGUGCUGAGGUUGGGUUGGAUGCAGUCAUGCAAAUCCAAAGAAUUGUUGCUAGUGUUUCUAAUCUGUUCAUAGGAUUUCACAACCGUGGGUCUUGGUUCUACCUAUUUCCUCCAGGCAAUUGGUAUGUGGGUGGUAAAGAAUAGGGAAUCCCUGCAGUGUGUGCUGCAUCAAAGGGAGUGCAGCCUCACCACCAUGCCUGCAUGUUGCACAAGAAGGCAGAGUAUGAACAACGUUUUGCUCUUCCAGCUCUGCUCAAAAUGGAGCACGGCUUGAUGUUGGAGAAAUUCCCUCUGAGUAGGAUGGGCUGCGAUGGCUGUGGGAGAGAAGUUUAGGAGCUCUGAAAUAAGGGAGAGGGAAGCAGAUUUGGAUACAGCUCCACCAAAGGGCUUGUUUAGUGGGGGAACCUCAUGGUAAUGCUGCUGACUAUCUCUUCUCCAGUCUCCAAAUUGGGGCUAGACAGUUACUGGAAUCAAAAAACAACUUAGAACAGGGAUAUCCAAGACAUCCAUUUCUUAGGGGCACAAGAAGGUGGUGAACUGGAAGAGGUGAGAAACAUUGCACCCAUCCUACAGCAAACAGCAGAGCAGUAGAUCUCAUGGGUGCUGGAGCAUCUCCAAAAUGAUCCUCACUGCAUCUGCAGGGCUGGCAUGUCUCAGUGCUUGGAGAAUGCAUGGUAGUCAGGAAGUUCAGGUUUUGCUCUCCCAUCUGUGGGGUGCUUUUUGCAUAGGUCAGAGAUCUAUUCUGCAUUAACUGGUAUACCAACAGUGUUGAUCUUUAGAGUUCAUGUCCUUAGCUGUGUAAAAGGAUUAGGAUCGAACUUAAUAAUAAUAACAACAAUUCCAAUAAAAAUAGUAGUGGGAUUGUAGGGCCUUGGGCUCUGCUGCAAGUGCCAGGUGCUCUUUUAAGUUAACUACUAGUGUUUCCACUAUCGGUGCCAUGAACCCCGUGAGCUGAGACAGCACUGGGACAGGUAUCCCUAGACACUGCCGCUGUGUCUUCAAAAUCUGAGGAGCCUGACCCCACAGUUCAUGAAGCCAAGGGGAAAGCUGCAUUAACUUAAGAGAUCCUGAGGGGAAAGAAAACACGUGGAAAGGCUUCAAAUAGAUCACUGUGGAAUGAUGAUGGAAAUGCACCGUUGUGGAAAUAUGUCAUAAGAAUGACUAAAUCCCCAGCAUAAGGCCAACAGCAACAUUAAGGUGGUGAAAAGCAUUUCACUUAUUCCCAUGCUUCCAGGAGCAAUUGGCAUCCUCGAGCUCCAUGGAGCGAUCACGAAGGGAAUGCAACUGUUUCUUUACACUGGACCAGCCAUGAAGGUUCACCGGCUGUGUUUGAACUAGCAGCUUCUGUAAAAGUGGUAUCCAUUAGAGCAUUCCUCACCACGCUGAACUGUGGAAGAGGGAACUUAAAGUUAAACAUGGGCUAAGAGGAAAAAGGCACGUUCUUGUCCAAGAUGUGAAAUGAGAAGGGAAACCAGCAAAACAAAAAAAAGUGCAAAUACGCUGUUUGAAAUGGCAAGAUCCCUAGUGAAAUUAUUAUACCAACAGGCUUGUUUAGAAAGAGAGAGGUUGCUACAGCAGAUGGAAGAAAAGGAGGAAAAAGUGAACUGAAAACUUAGAUGAACGAGAUUUCAAAAGCACACUGGAGCAGGAUGACAUGAGGAAAAUGUAGCACAUCAAACCCAGUGUGACCAUCUCCCUGGAGCUGAAAUAGCACAGGUUUUCAGAAGUCACUACCAACUUGGUGAGUAUCACACAAUUGGAAUCUGCUGACUACGUUCCCCAUACCUGCCAUCCUGUCCUGGGCAUCUCAACUACCUUCCCUGUGACAAAGCAGUUCCAAAACAUCAGCCGUUUAUAGCUGAAGCAUAAGGCAGUAUUUAACAGUGGGAUGAGAUGACCAUCUCUUCAUCACCAGGCCCUGAGAUCUCCUACCACAAAGAAGCAUUCCCAGCACGUUUUCCCUAGGCACAUCAGCUUGUGGAAAGAAAAACUCUCCCAACCGGAAACAGCAAAUUAGGAUAACAUGAUCUCUUAUUUGUGAUGUCUCGCCUGAGCAUCCCAGACACGCGCCACGCUGACGCCAUCUCUGCAACCCAACCAAGAUGGGAGCAGGCUGGGAGGAACAGAUAGGGAGAAGAAUAAAUAAACCUGAAGAACAUAUUUGUGGCAUGACUCGGAAGGAAGAAAAGCAAAAAAAAAAUUCAUAGAAAUAGAGUACAAGGAGGGGAGAAAAAGCCUUUCUUAUGUACCAGAGCUGCUCGGGGGACGCAGAAUUAAAAAUAAUGUUGAUUCCUGACCUAUGAUAUCUUGGAAAAAUAGCCCCAAACCCUUCCAGGCUGUCCAAAUUCCGAGAGCUAACGUCAGCCCUAUUCAGAGGGAUAUUCCCGCUGCCUCUCUUCUGGAGACAUCAUGUUUUUCUGGCUGUCGCCUGCCGUUCCCUUGACACUAGCAACAUUUUUUGGUCAACCCUUAAUUAUAAAUAACUAAUUUCCUCCAUUGAAAGAUUGGGAUGGUUCAGAGUGUUGUGUUAAGGGUAGGGGGAGCAGUUCUAGCAUGGAGGUGUUCAGAGGGAUUGGAUGGAGGAGGAGAGGAAGAGACCCCAGUUUCAUCCACCAUGGCAAGGAAAGCAACACAUCCUUCCAGCAUCCCCGAAGACGUGAGCAAGACCAAAACAACUCUAGAAAAGGCAGCUCUGAUUCCCCUCAAACCCUCUUUUCCAUUGGCAUUCUUAGCUGAGACAAGGAGCAUGCAACUGGCGUCUUUGCCUGUCACUAACUGCCAAGGUCAUGCUCUCCCUUCUUUUCGGCGCUUCUGUGAUUUUCCCUGGGGAUGGCAGAGAAGCUUUUGGUCUCCAUGAAAGAACCAAGUAACAGACAUCUCUGCUCCCCAGAUAGCUUCCCAGCUCCUUCAGGAUCAGAGAAUUCCAAACUAGAUGGUAUUUAGGGCACAGUGGGUGUUGCAAACCGAUGCACAAGCACAGGGAAAGACAGAAGGAUAUGUGUGGGGGGGAAAUGAGGAAAAAAAACCCACCCAAGAAAUAACACCCUCUCUACACAGAGAAUAAAGGUGAGGACAGAAAAGAGGCAUAAAAAGGUCUUUGGUUUUGCAGAUGUUUCUCUAAGAACAGAAAUAGACUCAGAGGUGAGCAACUAGAUGCAUGGCAGAGCCAUUUGAGCCUGGGUAGUACGUGCACCCCUGGGAGAGUGUAGCUUGCAAGAAGAAUAUUUGCAAAAGUGGUUGGAGAAUAAGGUAGGAAGGAUCAUGAGCUGUCAUUAUUAGUAUGGAGUAUAGGCAUGAACACCAUUUGGAAUGAUGAUGUUUGAAGGAGUGAAUCCAGACGUGAGGGCUUCCAUCAUGCCAGUACUCACCUAUGGCACAGGUAACCGAAUGAUGCUAGUGAGUAAUCUGACUGCAAGGUGGGCUUAGGUACCAUGUGAAUGCUUCUCAGACUCAUGGCUGCUGGAAAAGCAGGAUAGGAAGCCUAGAUCUUGUACUGUUCAACAGUACAGUGGGGCAGCCCUGAUGCGUCUGUGGUCAUAGUAAUGGGUCAGGAACAUGUGACUGUGUAUGGAACAAGAUGUACUGUUUCUGUGUGAAAUUUCAGGCAAUUAUUAAAGGAGAUGAAAACAGGAAGUCCAGCAGCUUCCAUGAUCAUCUUCAAAGAGGUGUGGAUUCAGAGACUUACAAACUGCAGCUGGACAGGACUUCCACAGGUCAUGUUGUCUGACCUCUUAAGGUACAAAGCUUAUUACAACAAGUUGCCCAGGGCCAUGCCCAGCUGAAACCUGAACAGCUCCAAGGACAGAGGUUUCACUACCUCUCUUGGCAACCUACUCCACUAAUUAGUUGCUUUCAUGGAGGAAAAAAAAAUAAUCCUAACACCUAAUCUAAUUACUUGAUGUUCUGAUUAAGGCUUGAAGACCCAAAGAUUCCAUUCUAAGCAGCUGAAAAGUCAUACUUUGUUCCAAGCCUCCAAGGAAAGCCUUCACAUCCUUUCUCGUGUGUUUACUUGCACCGUUUUUUUCCUAAUCCAUGGGGAAGACAGCAUCUUUCUACUCACGGUUGUAAGUCAAGGUCUGUGUUGACUUAGCCAAUAGAGAAGACCUGGUGUUCUUCUGCAAGCAGCAAUUUCUGGCAAAGAUAGUAGGAAUGCUGGUGGUGCAGAGUUGGGAAAGAGAAAAAGAUCUGGUAAUCUACUGGGUGGUAGAAUGGGCAACCAAACCAAGCCUGAUUUUGUUGAAGUUGAGAGAAGAGAAGCAAGAGCAGCAAAAAGUCUUGGUGCCAUAAAAAUGGCCAUUACCAAGGAAAGGCAAAAGAUGGCACUUCUGAAUGAAAAAGCAAGACCAACGUGUACCACACAACACCAUAAAUCAAACUGAAUUCUCUGGGUAUUGCAGAGGAUACAGUGUGUAAUGCCACAGGAAUUCCACUGCAAUGCAAAAAUAGAAGUCUUUUCCCUGUAGGCUUUUCAGAAGGGAUGUGGGAGUGGGGAUGAAUGGAAAUUGUCCAAGUGCCCUCCAUGGACAGCUGGAAAAUACUUGAGACACAGCCAGCUCCAAGCUAACCAUCCAGCCUAAUGAAGUCACAGGGGAUUCUGCUUUCAUGUCUCUCAUCCACCGCAAGGAAAUUCCUACUCCUGCCAAGCAGGGAGGAUCCUUUCUUUCCCCAAACCUCUUCUUGACAAACGAGGAAUCCCUCAGACUUCCCAGGAACACGAACCAGCCUGCCAGUAACUUGUGCUGACAGCAUGCUCCCCCAGGGCUGCAAAGGGUUAAUGCAAGAUGUUAAAGACAAAAAGCCAUGACUCAGUCCAUGAAGACAGGUGCUGAACUAAGUGGCAUGAAUAUCAUCAGAGGGCAGACUUGGAAUUCUCCAUCUUGUCCAUGAAGAGAUGCUCCUCCAGAUGAUGAGCCAAAGCAAAGAUAUUCCAUUCACCCCUGCAAUGCCUCUCCCUCCAUGGCAACUCCACAAGGAGUCUAAAAAGGUUUGCUACUGAACUCAGGCUUGCGUACACAAAUCUUCCCAGGAUUUGGGAAUCCUCAUUCCUAUUUCCCAGCACAGGAACUCCCAGGUGAUAUGUAACCAGAAGUCUUCCUGCACUUGUUAAGACUCUUCAACUCCCUCUUCAACCACAAACUUUUGUGCUCUGAUUCCAGCUCAGAACUAUGCUGCCAUGUCACAAGCAUCACUGCUGGCAUCAUGCAGCUUAAGAAGGCAGCUCAGUCAUCUGGGCAUCUAACAGCACAGGCAGACAUGAAACUUGUCAAAGAGAAGCUGGAGGAACAGGCAGAUCACUCCCUGGGCUAACAGGAGGCACAGCACCACUGGCGGGAUGCCCUCUGUAAUCCUUGGGAGUCCUUCAUCAGCUUUGCUGUGUGUUGGACUUCAGCCCAAGAAUCCAAAGCCAUUUGGGUGUGCAGAGGACAAGAGCAUCUCAUCAUGUCUUGGGUUUGCCUGAGAAGACCAACCCUGAGGCACUGAUACUGUUGGUCAAAGAGCAGCAGGGAGCAGCCAUCACUAGCAGCAUUGUAUGAGAGACAGUUCAAACUUAUCAUCAAGGUUUGGAUAUCCAAAUGUCAGCAAGGAUGGCACACCAAAAUGCUCCUAUGAGAGAGCUGUGGGGUUCAGGGUUUCCUUCCCCAAGAGAAAUUCCUGUUGCAGUCAGAAGGAAACCUCAGUCUCUGUGUGGGAUGUGGAUUUGGCUUUGGGACUGAAAAAGCAGCAGCAGAUGCUGCAGAGGUAGAGCUGUACCAGCAUAGCUGCAGACAAUGGUUGUGGUUUGAGACUGUGCCCCUUCCAUGCAGAUGUACUGAGCACAGAGAGCAGAAGGCUGUGGACCAUAGCACACAGCAGACCCACUGCCAGCUACAUCAGAUGGGAGCAUGUAACUUCCUGAGGUCAGAUUUGGGUGAAAGGGAACAAUACCAUCAGUGUCAGAUUAGGAAGCCCUGCAGGGCACUUUGCCCUGAGAUAGGCUGAAGAAUAAAUGCUGCUCGCAACAUCAUGGUCCAGUUAUUCCUGGAAGUGCUCACUAACAAAAUUCUUUAGUAAAUCAUCACCGCACCAGCAGGAGCCAAUACUAUUUUAGACUGGGUUUUGGUAAGCAGUGUAAGGAUUAUGAAAGAGCUGAUGAAAGAAAGAAAACUUGUCCUGAACUAAUUAUGGCUUGAUUGAGAUUAAUUUAGACAGAGGAAUAAAGAAAGUCCUUGAACUAAGAAUGGUAAAAACAGGACAAAGCAGCAGGCAUUGCUGCAUCGGAGAGGCUAGGAGUACAGGGUGGAAUGGGAAUUCCCUGAAGUCAGGCUGACUCCAGUGAAAACAAAGAGCAAAAGGCCCUUUCAGAAAUAAGAAAAGCGAUAGAAGAAAUGAAGAGGUCUGCUGAGCAGGGAAGAUGGGGCUGAAGAUCAGUUUAAUUGAGAUUAAACUGCAGAAAUCAAAGUGUUCACAGAUAAAACUUGGUGGAUAUUUGCAGUGGGAAGCUGAAGAAGUGCCACCCUGAAUCCAGAAGGGCUGACACAGGGCAUGUGACUGGAGAAUAGCCAUUGCAAUGCAUCAUUGAUGUCUGCAAGGGUGAAUGAAGAUCACAAUGAGGUAGGCUGAUCCAGUUAUCUUUGUGCUGACAGACCUUAAAUCCACCUGCAAAUCUCAGUAGACUUUCUGCUUUCUAAGUCUCUGUGUCUUUACUUCCACCCUCCACCCUACUUCCCAAAAAAUAAUGGAAAUAGAUGGUUGGAUGGAGCUGAGAGACUGUACUUGAGCCAUCUCUGAAGGACAGGAUAGCAUUCACACCCUAUUAGGAAUUCAAGAGGAAACCAAGCAAACCUGAUCUGAAGGGGAAGAGCUCUCCAUAGAGAUUCGUUGAAAAACAGCUAUUCCAUGAGGUUCAAGUCCAUCCUGCACUGCAGAAAGCACCAGAAAUAGACAGCAAUGGUCCCAAAGGCUCAUGGGGCCAUGAUGGGCGAUACAGAAGCCAUUUUAUUAUGAGCCCUAUCAGCGGCAUGGCACAGGCAAGAAACUUCACAGCAUUGCCUCUGGAUGUCUACACCUUCUCACAGGGAUGGGAACAUGCACAUUCUCCUUCAUCUCCUUCAAAUUUAAUUCCUCUAAGCUGAUGAACACACAGUGCCUCCUCCGCUUUCAACCCAAGUCCAUUCAACUUCACUUUGUUGCUGGAGAGGAAGGGUCAUCCUUUGUCAUGACCAGAGCUGUUGCCCUCCAAAGCUGAGCACAGGGACAUGCUAAGUCUGUGCUUUGUGGUGGCCUUAGGACUUGCACAGUCCUGCUUUCUGCACCUCAUUUUCAAGACCCUGGGCACCGUCCUUCCAUCUCAAGCCACUUCUCAGGCGAAACAAACUGCAGAGAUCUCCUGCAGUCUCACCAUGUUUGCAUCUCUGUAGCUAACUUUAGGGUCCAUCGCAUCAGCAGCCCUAAAGGGCUUACAGGAGCAUGGAGAAGAGGACUUGGAAGAAGGACAUCCUUAUCUUUGUAAGGUAACCUUCCUAACAGUUUUCCCUCAUACAGCCUCCAAGUGCAUGACACACAUGUGUGCACUGUAAUAUACAAUAUGGAAAAUCCUGUUCUACCAAGAACAGACCCACAAAUUCCUAACUUCUUCCAGCAUUUCAACCCUGAAGCAUCAUUUGCUUCUGCCAAACAACCAAAGCCUACACACACUUGAAAGUUAAUAUAAAAUAAGCCAAAUGUUUCCCAAAAAGCUCCCACGGGUGUCUGGCUUUGAGCUUGUGCUAAAGCUACCGAUUCACCCCACGAACCUUCCUCUUUACCCCCUUAGGGAAGACUAACACACACAAGUCCCAUAAACUUCCUGGCUUAUGUGACAAUUCUUGUGUUGCUUAAGUAUGAUGGACCAUCAACUUUCCCCUGGGAUAAAUUUGUCCCAGCAAUCUGUGUUUUAGUGCUCUACAUCUUGAGGGAGUUGAUAGCAUUUGGGAUUUAUUUUAAUGGGAGUUGGUAGCUGUGAUCAAUUGUAGAAGCUCUAUUUCCAUGGAAAUGGGUAUUUAAUAGAUUUUUGAAAAUGGUAGUUAUUGACCCAAUGGGCCUUAAUGGCUUAAAACCCAUCUGAUUGUAGUAUGUAAGAGUAAAUGCAUAUGAUUUUCAAAUUAAUACUGGAAUAGGUAGUAAAAACCCUUUUAAAUUGCAGGGACGUGGUCAAUAGGGAGUUUCCAUUUGCUUGUUUGGCCUUUCUAUUUCUAUCAGCAUGAAUCACGGCCAUCUCUUCCUCAAAGAGACUUUCAAUUUCCUCACAAGUGAGAUCAUCUUAAAACGUUCAACACAUCUGAGCCCCAUCAAGGUAGGACAUCUUUCAUUAGGGAAGAGCCAGGCUUUCAGAAUGGCUGGCCUCUUGUGGUGGGAGCAGAGGACAUGUGGAACAUUUCAUCCUCCCUGGCCACAAUCACUGUCCCUUGCUUCCAGCAAGAGAUAAAAGUCAAAUGACUCCUGAGAUUCAGCUCAACCUAUGGGUUCUCACUUGAAGAUCAGAUGCUCAAAGUUCCAUGUAGAAAACUUGGUUCAUUUGGAAGUUAGCAUAUCCCAAAAGUAUGGGACAGUGAAGGAGUGAACUGUAAAGGAACUCAAAACCCACAAGGUGAGACAUGGAUUUAAGGCUUUUCCAGCCCCUGCUGAUAGGACCCUGCUGAGCUGGACUUUCCACCUGUGUCCUGUGUUGACCCUCCACUUGCAGCAGGCAUGAAGAAUGCUCAGUUGGCUGUGUUGUGUUGGCUUCUAGAGAACCACCUUCCUCCACUGUCUUGGCCAUCUGAAAGAGCACAGACCUACCAAGUGAAAAAGCCCCUACAGACCUACCAGGGCUGCAAGAGGACUGGUCCCUGGGAAGAAGAGUGAAGCUGACAUCAUGGGAUGUCAUUACCUCCAAACCCAGGUAAACAGCGCUGGGAGCAUGGGGGGAGUUAAUGGGAAGAAUGUGGGAGAAGCAGAGCAAGAGACCCAGAUCAGGAACAGGUGGGGAAGGCAAGGGCCUUGCAGAGAGCACAGCAGCAGCUCAGCCAGGCCAGGAGCCCAGCAUCUUUGCACAUGGAUCUGCUCCAAGUCCCAGCACGGGCAGCAGCGUGGCUCCAGCACACGCCAGCAGAUCUUGGAAAGCCCGGCUGUCCCCCGCCUGGCUGAGCACCCGCUGCCUUUUCCCGGUGUUGAUGCUGGCUGCUGAGCCACCCGCGUUACACAGAACACGUGUGAAGGAACAUGUUUGCAGCCCCUUGCGGUUUUGCAAGGCAGAACUCAACAGUGGCAAGUUAUUGUAGAGCAGGCUCCAAGCUAAACAAAGCCAGGUAUGGUUCGGUUUCUGCCUCAGUUGUUUGUUUCAAAGAAAAAUAGAAAAUUUCCCGGGCCAGGACUGAGCCUUGCAGUGCUCUUUCCCUCUCUCAGACAGUACAGAUAAGCUUGGUCCCCAUCUAAACCGCAGGAGAUAUGUUGUAAACCAGCUCUCCCUUCCUUUCUGCCAGUGAAUGAAGUAGCAGUCCAGGUGCAGGGGGCUGUCAACACUGCAUUGCCGCACAAGAUGGCUGGGAUUUUGUGCCUCGGUUUCCCCAUCUGGAGAGCUGGAAUUACCCUUCCACACAGCACAGCUCCAGUGUCCGCGGCGCAGCCUGCCAACCCAAACGUGCAUCAAUCAUCCACAAGAGCCCAUCAGCGUGGGGCUGAUGGAGUCCCACCAGCGCGCUGCCAAGCACCCUGCUGGGUCAUUUCCUGGGAUCUCAGCUGCGCACGGAUGGAUGAGUAGAAACCCCAGGGAGUGCUGAAAAGCUGGAAACAGAGUGAGUCGUCCCCCUCCUCUUCCCCAGCCCUUGGACACAUGCUGUUCCUUCACAAUUGUUGUCUGGAUCCGAUCAGCCCCUGGGAUGGUGGUACUGCUAGAACAAUAGCUCACAUCUGGAUGGGUUGUUUUCCCUGAAAGCGUCUGGGCUCCUACAGCUGCUGGGCAGGGACUGCUGCUCCCGCUCACACGCGGAUCGGGUUGUCCUUCUGCACAGUCCCAGCCACCCUGGGGCACUGGGCAGUGUGUGCUGCUCUUCCCUUUGCCAGCCUGAGCUGGAGGUGUUAUGUCCUUCUCACAGCUUGGGGAGAACAAAUGCCUGAAAGCCCUCUGGGAUGCUCAACUCAGCCUGAUGAAUGAUGAAGUUUGGGAGAUCUCUCUCUACCAAGAACCUGGAAGAGAGGCCAAACCAAAGAGACCAGCACAUCCAACUCCUGUAAGAGACAAGGGCAGACAACUGCAUCCCAUGACAGAGAAGGAGCAGCUCUCACAGCAGACGAGAGAUUGGAAGGAAGAAAUAGGACAUCUAACCAAACAAAAUACAUCCCACAGCUGAGGUGAGCAGCCCCCCAGCAGUACCUGGGAGUGACGUGAGUGCAGACACACUGCAGGGCUCAGGAAGUCACACUGACUAAGAGUGGAGCCCAUCUUCUUAGCACUCCCUCUCAGAGUUCACUGCUCCUCAGAACACAACUCUACUCUUGGGUUCAUCUUUGGCACAGUGCAUCAGAUGCAAAGGAUGUGUUGCAUACCAUCACCUGAUGUAUUUGGGCUGAGAGGGUCAAAAGUAAAUUUGGGGUCUUUGACCCAAACCAGGACUCUGGGUGGACUGGCUCUCUGUCACAGUAUGAAGAAGCACCUCAAUGGACAUCCUGUCCUCAGGAUACAACAACCAAGGACAAUCCCAUCCAUCUUUGCCAAGUUUUGAAAUUAGUAAUCAAUGGGAAGAGCCCAGAGAGAGUGUGCUUUCCUGCAAGGAAAGGUUCAGCUUUUUAUGAGCUCAGUCCAACCUCUCUCAUGAAACUUUAAAGAACCCACCAAGGAAUCCAUCAAGCUCCAUCAAAAAGCCCUGUUAAUUACCACACCUGCCCAGACCCAGUGGGCCUACCAGCCUGGGGAAGUGGCUACCAGGAGCAGUACUGCUACCUUUGGAUUUCCCUUUGGGGAUCCCAAGAUGCUCCUCUCCUCACCACAGUGCUUACAGCUCCCAGACCUGAGCCCAGCACUUGGCUUAGGCUUUCUGUAGCAAGGAGAGUUGCUGAGUGAUAGUUUAUCCUUAGGUCCUGUGCACAAGAGACACUCAGUGAGGUUAAUCUGGAUUAGUGUUUGAAGAAACUGCUUAAACAGUGGGAGGCUUCCCAACAACCCUAACCCAAUUAAGCAUCUCUCCCUGAGGAAGGCAGGCUGGCUAAGUCUGCAUUAAAGCCCAUCAAGUGUCCUGUUGAUGAGAUAGACCCUAACAUCACAGCUGUGGCCAUCCCAGAGGAGGCAGAACUGAAUUUGCUACUCUGAAAAACAAGAGGUUGGCAAGAAGGAAGGGAAAGUGUGGGGCAGGGAGCAUGUUGGACAGCCCCAUUCAAGCUCUGCCCCACACCUUCCUAGCCCUGCAGCUUUCAGGGCCAUAGCAGAUGCUCUCUGUGCCUGUGGCUGUCCUAAAGGGCAGCACCUCUACCACCAAUUCUUCUGUUUAUUGUGUUAUUUCUGAUCCUUCUGCUGGAACCCACACUGCCCUCCAGUUGCUCUUUUCGCACUCACUGUGUCACACACCAGGCUCACUGAGUUACUGCCCGAGGGGGGACCACACUGAGUGUUAAUUGCUGUUAAUGAGCUGUUGCUGCUUUCCUUCCAAGAGCACCAAUUACAACAACACUCAAACUCUGUAAGAAGAUGAUGUCUGCAGUAAAUGAACACAAAAUUACUCCAGGAUCCUGGCAUUAUACUUCCAGCAACUCGUGGAGGAGU
Coturnix japonica (Japanese quail) is the source of this 14294-nucleotide non-coding RNA. Lineage: Eukaryota; Metazoa; Chordata; Aves; Galliformes; Phasianidae. The record is from RefSeq and is a predicted model, not a curated record.